Molecule: ribosomal RNA, 334 nt
Filed under: uncultured bacterium
Lineage: Bacteria
Description: bacterial SSU rRNA
Rfam family: Bacterial small subunit ribosomal RNA
Source: RNAcentral
CGUGUAGGCGGUCGGUCAAGUCCGGUGUGAAAGCCCGGGCUCAGCUCCGGAAGUGCAUCGGAAACUAGCCGACUUGAGCGCGAUAGAGGAGGGUGGAAUUCCUGGUGUAGCGGUGAAAUGCGUAGAUAUCAGGAGGAACACCGGCGGCGAAGGCGGCCCUCUGGAUCGUUGCUGGACGCUGAGACGCGAAAGCGUGGGGAGCAAACAGGAUUAGAUACCCUGGUAGUCCACGCUCGUAAACGAUGGGUACUAGGUGUUCGGGGUGUUGACCCCCUGAGUGCCGACGCUAACGCAUUAAGUACCCCGCCUGGGGACUACGGCCGCAAAGGCUAAA